UUUUUCCCUUUUGGCGGGGGGAUAACCUUCCGAAAGGAGGGCUAAUACCGCAUACGCUUGUUUGGUCGCAAGACUGGAUGAGGAAAGCAGGCCUCUUCAUGAACGCUUGCACCGAAGGAUAAGCCCGCGGCCCAUCAGCUAGUUGGCAGGGUAAUGGCCUACCAAGGCGAAGACGGGUAGCUGGUCUGAGAGGAUGAUCAGCCACACUGGAACUGAGACACGGUCCAG
Molecule: ribosomal RNA, 228 nt
Filed under: uncultured bacterium
Lineage: Bacteria
Description: partial 16S ribosomal RNA
Rfam family: Bacterial small subunit ribosomal RNA
Source: RNAcentral